GCUCAUCCGUUUUGUGCAGAAGGGGCUAUCGCUCUACAAGGACCAAUUUCUUGCUGCUUUGCCAGCACCUUGUCGAGCAAGUGCUGACUUCAGUCAGCCUGUUUUCAUAGCCACUGCAUUCUACCUGUGUGCAAAAAGACACAAGCUUAAAGUAGACAAGAUUAAACUUAUUGAGCUCUGUGACACAUCAGAAUCUGAAUUUACUAGUGUAAGACAUGCUCCUGUUAGCAGUUUCUUUAUAUCUACUUUAUAGCAUUUUUUUUUAUUGGACUUCCGAAUCAUGGUUGCAAGUUUCAACCUCUAUGAAGGGCCUAUGCUUUGAUGUUUUUGGUAUUACAAAGGAAAAGUAAGACCCAAAAGCUGUGAAAGGGCGCACCAAGGUACAUGUUUUUAUUGACAUUUUACCAGGCCAAUCUCCAUGUUCUUCCACUGCACUUCCCACCUGUUCCUGUAAGCUCAUUUUCUUUACAAAUGAAUGGUUUGCAUACCUUUGAGAUAGGUUUCUAAUUUUUGGAUUGGUAAUUAGAACUAUUAGAUGCAUUACCUAGCAAAAGGAAGUAUGAGGAUGAUGGUGAUGUAUAGUGAGAUCCUUGAUUGUUUGAAGAAAUGCUUUAACCAAAUCAUAUUUGAAAUCUUCAACACUCCUGCUAUGUAUGUUGCCAUCUAGGUUGUUCUCUUCCUUUAUGCCAGUGGUUGCACGACUGGUAAGCAAGACUACUAGUUCUUAUUUUGGUUUCUCUGGGCUACAUUCUCUUGAUUACUUAAACAACAACAAUG
Magnolia sinica is the source of this 777-nucleotide long non-coding RNA. RefSeq lists it as uncharacterized. The transcript has 3 exons. NCBI's taxonomy places the organism in Eukaryota, Viridiplantae, Streptophyta, Magnoliopsida, Magnoliales, Magnoliaceae. The record is from RefSeq and is a predicted model, not a curated record.